RNAcentral lists this ribosomal RNA (253 nucleotides) under uncultured bacterium. Its description in RNAcentral is "partial 16S ribosomal RNA". It matches the Rfam family "Bacterial small subunit ribosomal RNA", at positions 524 to 776 of the family's 1533-position model. The record is from RNAcentral.
UACGUAGGGGGCAAGCGUUGUCCGGAAUCAUUGGGCGUAAAGCGCGUGUAGGCGGCUCGGGAAGUCAGCUCUGAAAGCCCGGGGCUCAACCCCGGGAGGCGGGUGGAUACUGCUGAGCUCGAGUCCGGAAGAGGAGUGUGGAAUUCCUGGUGUAGCGGUGAAAUGCGCAGAUAUCAGGAGGAACACCAAUGGCGAAGGCAGCACUCUGGGACGGUACUGACGCUGAGACGCGAAAGCGUGGGGAGCAAACAGG